Molecule: ribosomal RNA, 496 nt
Filed under: uncultured bacterium
Lineage: Bacteria
Description: partial 16S ribosomal RNA
Rfam family: Bacterial small subunit ribosomal RNA
Source: RNAcentral
AUGCACGCUGGCGGCGUGCCUCAUACCUGCAAGUCGAGCGAACGGACGAGAAGCUUGCUUCUCUGAUGUUAGCGGCGGACGGGUGAGUAACACGUGGAUAACCUACCUAUAAGACUGGGAUAACUUCGGGAAACCGGAGCUAAUACCGGAUAAUAUUUUGAACCGCAUGGUUCAAAAGUGAAAGACGGUCUUGCUGUCACUUAUAGAUGGAUCCGCGCUGCAUUAGCUAGUUGGUAAGGUAACGGCUUACCAAGGCAACGAUGCAUAGCCGACCUGAGAGGGUGAUCGGCCACACUGGAACUGAGACACGGUCCAGACUCCUACGGGAGGCAGCAGUAGGUAAUCUUCCGCAAUGGGCGAAAGCCUGACGGAGCAACGCCGCGUGAGUGAUGAAGGUCUUCGGAUCGUAAAACUCUGUUAUUAGGGAAGAACAUAUGUGUAAGUAACUGUGCACAUCUUGACGGUACCUAAUCAGAAAGCCACGGCUAACUACGUG